Molecule: ribosomal RNA, 383 nt
Filed under: uncultured bacterium
Lineage: Bacteria
Description: bacterial SSU rRNA
Rfam family: Bacterial small subunit ribosomal RNA
Source: RNAcentral
GACGAACGCUGGCGGCGUGCUUAACACAUGCAAGUCGAGCGGUAAGGCCCUUUCGGGGGUACGACGAGCGGCGAACGGGUGAGUAACACGUGGGUGACCUGCCCUCAGCUCUGGGAUAAGCCUGGGAAACCGGGUCUAAUACCGGAUAUGACUCCAUGACGCAUGUUGUGGGGUGGAAAGCCUUGUGCGGCUGAGGAUGGGCCCGCGGCCUAUCAGCUUGUUGGUGGGGUGAUGGCCCACCAAGGCGACGACGGGUAGCCGGCCUGAGAGGGUGUCCGGCCACACUGGGACUGAGAUACGGCCCAGACUCCUACGGGAGGCAGCAGUAGGGAAUUUUGCGCAAUGGGCGAAAGCCUGACGCAGCGACGCCGCGUGAGGGACGA